GGGAUCGCCCUUCCUACGGGAGGCAGCAGUGAGGAAUAUGGGACAAUGGGCGCAAGCCUGAUCCAGCCAUGCCGCGUGCAGGAUGACGGUCCUAUGGAUUGUAAACUGCUUUUGUACGAGAAGAAACACUCCGACGUGUCGGAGCUUGACGGUAUCGUAAGAAUAAGGAUCGGCUAACUCCGUGCCAGCAGCCGCGGUAAUAAGGGCGAUCC
RNAcentral lists this ribosomal RNA (212 nucleotides) under uncultured bacterium. RNAcentral describes it as "partial 16S ribosomal RNA". It matches the Rfam family "Bacterial small subunit ribosomal RNA", at positions 326 to 535 of the family's 1533-position model. The record is from RNAcentral.